GACGAACGCUGGCGGCGUGCUUAACACAUGCAAGUCGAACGGAAAGGCCCUGCUUUUGUGGGGUGUUCGAGUGGCGAACGGGUGAGUAACACGUGAGUAACCUGCCCUUGACUUUGGGAUAACUUCAGGAAACUGGGGCUAAUACCCGAUAGGAGCUCCUGCUGCAUGGUGGGGGUUGGAAAGUUUCGGCGGUUGGGGAUGGACUCGCGGCUUAUCAGCUUGUUGGUGGGGUAGUGGCUUACCAAGGCUUUGACGGGUAGCCGGCCUGAGAGGGUGACCGGCCACAUUGGGACUGAGAUACGGCCCAGACUCCUACGGGAGGCAGCAGUGGGGAAUAUUGCACAAUGGGCGGAAGCCUGAUGCAGCAACGCCGCGUGCGGGAUGACGGCCUUCGGGUUGUAAACCGCUUUCGCCUGUGACGAAGCGUGAGUGACGGUAAUGGGUAAAGAAGCACCGGCUAACUACGUG
This 468-nucleotide ribosomal RNA is filed under the name uncultured bacterium. RNAcentral's name for it is "partial 16S ribosomal RNA". It matches the Rfam family "Bacterial small subunit ribosomal RNA", at positions 28 to 507 of the family's 1533-position model. The record is from RNAcentral.